This 300-nucleotide small nuclear RNA is filed under the name Erinaceus europaeus (western European hedgehog). Its description in RNAcentral is "7SK RNA". It matches the Rfam family "7SK RNA". Rfam says of the family: 7SK was discovered as an abundant small nuclear RNA in the mid-70s but a possible function has only recently been suggested. The record is from Rfam by way of RNAcentral. Lineage: Eukaryota; Metazoa; Chordata; Mammalia; Eulipotyphla; Erinaceidae.
GGUUGUGAGGGCGAUCUGGCUGCAACAUCUGUCACCCCAUUGAUCACCAGGGUUGAUUCAGCUUAUCUGGCUGGCUAGGUGGGUGUCCCCUUCCUCCCUCACUACUCCAUGUGCGUCCCUCCCUAAGCUGCGCACUCAGUAUAAGAGGACGGCCUUCCCCGAAUAGAGAUGGACCAGUCUUGGGUCAAGGAUAUACAAGUAGCUGUGCUCCCCUGCUAGAAACUCCAAACUCUCAAAAAUGAAAAAAAAAAAAAGUAUAGCCACAGGCCCUUUGCAACAUAACUAAAAUAUACCUGCUAG